AGAGUUUGAUCCUGGCUCAGGACGAACGCUGGCGGCGUGCCUAAUACAUGCAAGUCGAGCGGACAGAUGGGAGCUUGCUCCCUGAUGUUAGCGGCGGACGGGUGAGUAACACGUGGGUAACCUGCCUGUAAGACUGGGAUAACUCCGGGAAACCGGGGCUAAUACCGGAUGGUUGUUUGAACCGCAUGGUUCAAACAUAAAAGGUGGCUUCGGCUACCACUUACAGAUGGACCCGCGGCGCAUUAGCUAGUUGGUGAGGUAACGGCUCACCAAGGCGACGAUGCGUAGCCGACCUGAGAGGGUGAUCGGCCACACUGGGACUGAGACACGGCCCAGACUCCUACGGGAGGCAGCAGUAGGGAAUCUUCCGCAAUGGACGAAAGUCUGACGGAGCAACGCCGCGUGAGUGAUGAAGGUUUUCGGAUCGUAAAGCUCUGUUGUUAGGGAAGAACAAGUACCGUUCGAAUAGGGCGGUACCUUGACGGUACCUAACCAGAAAGCCACGGCUAACUACGUGCCAGCAGCCGCGGUAAUACGUAGGUGGCAAGCGUUGUCCGGAAUUAUUGGGCGUAAAGGGCUCGCAGGCGGUUUCUUAAGUCUGAUGUGAAAGCCCCCGGCUCAACCGGGGAGGGUCAUUGGAAACUGGGGAACUUGAGUGCAGAAGAGGAGAGUGGAAUUCCACGUGUAGCGGUGAAAUGCGUAGAGAUGUGGAGGAACACCAGUGGCGAAGGCGACUCUCUGGUCUGUAACUGACGCUGAGGAGCGAAAGCGUGGGGAGCGAACAGGAUUAGAUACCCUGGUAGUCCACGCCGUAAACGAUGAGUGCUAAGUGUUAGGGGGUUUCCGCCCCUUAGUGCUGCAGCUAACGCAUUAAGCACUCCGCCUGGGGAGUACGGUCGCAAGACUGAAACCCAAAGGAAUUGACGGGGGCCCGCACAAGCGGUGGAGCAUGUGGUUUAAUUCGAAGCAACGCGAAGAACCUUACCAGGUCUUGACAUCCUCUGACAAUCCUAGAGAUAGGACGUCCCCUUCGGGGGCAGAGUGACAGGUGGUGCAUGGUUGUCGUCAGCUCGUGUCGUGAGAUGUUGGGUUAAGUCCCGCAGCGAGCGCAACCCUUGAUCUUAGUUGCCAGCAUUCAGUUGGGCACUCUAAGGUGACUGCCGGUGACAAACCGGAGGAAGGUGGGGAUGACGUCAAAUCAUCAUGCCCCUUAUGACCUGGGCUACACACGUGCUACAAUGGACAGAACAAAGGGCAGCGAAACCGCGAGGUUAAGCCAAUCCCACAAAUCUGUUCUCAGUUCGGAUCGCAGUCUGCAACUCGACUGCGUGAAGCUGGAAUCGCUAGU
RNAcentral lists this ribosomal RNA (1348 nucleotides) under metagenome. RNAcentral's name for it is "bacterial SSU rRNA". It matches the Rfam family "Bacterial small subunit ribosomal RNA", at positions 8 to 1339 of the family's 1533-position model. The record is from RNAcentral.